Molecule: unclassified non-coding RNA, 256 nt
Filed under: Paraglomus occultum
Lineage: Eukaryota; Fungi; Glomeromycota; Glomeromycetes; Paraglomerales; Paraglomeraceae
Description: partial contains 5.8S ribosomal RNA and internal transcribed spacer 2
Rfam family: 5.8S ribosomal RNA (bases 1-65)
Source: RNAcentral
GUGAAUCAUCAAAUUUUUGAACGCAAAUUGCGCCUUUUUCGGAAGGCAUGUCUGUUUGAGGGCACCAUUUAGCAAAUAAUGUGCAUUGCGUGUGCACACGUUGAUGAGCUUUCCAAAAUUAUGUAUUAUUAUUUUUGGUGGCGCAUAAGAAACAGCGCGAUGCUUUUUUGCAGUUCUAGUAUAGUAAAUUUUUUUCUUGCUUGGGUUGUGAAAAACGGGAUCGCGCAAAUGAGUGUGGCGAUUCUAGUAAGCCUGC